GUAACAGACAACAUGACUCUCCAGACCCAAGAAGGAAAGCAGUGCAGUGAAGUGCUGGUGCAGGAAAUAAACAGAAGGCAAGGAGAGAAGAGAUAACUGGAGAGAGAGAGGGAGAUAACUGGAGAGAGAGAGUGAGAUGACUGGAGAGAGAGAGGGAGAUAACUGGAGAGAGAGAGUGAGAUGACUGGAGAGAGGGAGAUGACUGGAGAGAGAGAGGGAGAUGACUGGAGAGAGAGAGGGAGAUAACUGGAGAGAGAGAGGGAGAUAACUGGAGAGAGAGAGUGAGAUAACUGGAGAGAGAGAGGGAGAUAACUGGAGAGAGAGAGGGAGAUAACUGGAGAGAGAGAAGAGGAGAGAUGACUGGAGAGAGAGAGGGAGAUAACUGGAGAGAGAGAGGGAGAUGACUGGAGAGAGAGAGGGAGAUGACUGGAGAGAGAGAGGGAGAUGACUGGAGAGAGAGAGGGAGAUAACUGGAGAGAGAGAGGGAGAUAACUGGAGAGAGAGAGGGAGAUGACUGGAGAGAGAGAGGAGAGAUAACUGGAGAGAGAGAGGGAGAUAACUGGAGAGAGAG
This is a long non-coding RNA of Oncorhynchus tshawytscha (Chinook salmon), 571 nucleotides long. The record is from Ensembl. Lineage: Eukaryota; Metazoa; Chordata; Actinopteri; Salmoniformes; Salmonidae.